GAUGAACGCUGGCGGCGUGCCUAAUACAUGCAAGUCGAGCGAACAGAUGAGGAGCUUGCUCCUCUGACGUUAGCGGCGGACGGGUGAGUAACACGUGGAUAACCUACCUAUAAGACUGGGAUAACUUCGGGAAACCGGAGCUAAUACCGGAUAAUAUAUUGAACCGCAUGGUUCAAUAGUGAAAGACGGUUUUGCUGUCACUUAUAGAUGGAUCCGCGCCGCAUUAGCUAGUUGGUAAGGUAACGGCUUACCAAGGCAACGAUGCAUAGCCGACCUGAGAGGGUGAUCGGCCACGCUGGAACUGAGACACGGUCCAGACUCCUACGGGAGGAAGCAGUAGGGAAUCUUCCGCAAUGGGCGAAAGCCUGACGGAGCAACGCCGCGUGAGUGAUGAAGGUCUUCGGAUCGUAAGCCUGUGUUAUUAGGGAAGAAGAAAUGUGUAAGUAACAGUGCACGUCUUGACGGUACCUAAUCAGAAAGCCACGGCUAACUACGUG
RNAcentral lists this ribosomal RNA (497 nucleotides) under uncultured bacterium. RNAcentral describes it as "partial 16S ribosomal RNA". It matches the Rfam family "Bacterial small subunit ribosomal RNA", at positions 28 to 507 of the family's 1533-position model. The record is from RNAcentral.